GGUGGGGUGGCAGAGUGGUCGAAUGCGGCGGUCUUGAAAACCGUUGGGCGUGAGAGCGUCCCGUGGGUUCGAAUCCCACCCCCACCGCCA
RNAcentral lists this transfer RNA (90 nucleotides) under Rhodospirillales bacterium. RNAcentral describes it as "tRNA-Ser". It matches the Rfam family "tRNA". From Rfam's summary of the family: Transfer RNA (tRNA) molecules are approximately 80 nucleotides in length. Their secondary structure includes four short double-helical elements and three loops (D, anti-codon, and T loops). Lineage: Bacteria; Pseudomonadati; Pseudomonadota; Alphaproteobacteria; Rhodospirillales. The record is from RNAcentral.